Molecule: long non-coding RNA, 477 nt
Filed under: Cyanistes caeruleus (blue tit)
Lineage: Eukaryota; Metazoa; Chordata; Aves; Passeriformes; Paridae
Description: lncRNA (ENSCCEG00000012437.1)
Source: RNAcentral
GUUGGCUGUGGAUUGUUUCCUCUAGGUGUGGAGGUAGAAGAAGAGCAUGCAGCCCUGCUUACUUUGAAUUUUUUUUUGCCAAACUAAAAGAAGAAAAUCUCUGAAGAAGCUGAAGUGAGUGGCCUUGAAAGGAUCAAAAUUGGAUUUGGAGCAUUACCACACCCUGCAAAUCUUGACCUUAGCAGUCUCUGAAGACUUUUCACAGUGUUCUUUCACUUCCUACAUUCCUACACUGGAGUGCAAGAUGCUCUCUAGUUUUUGAAAGUCAACCAGUGACUGCUCGUGGAGGUUGGAAGGGACCUUGGAGGGAGUCCGGUCCAACCCCCUGCUCGGAGCGGGGCUAAGGGACAGCGCGUUGCUCGGAGGGGCUGCCGGGACCCAGGGUGACCCAGGGGUGCACGAGCAGGCUCGCCUGUGCAGCUUAUUUCAAGAUCUUUGUGGGGGGAGGGAAAGGAGAACAUCGUCUACACGUUUGGA